ACCCUUGUGGAGGAGGACGCCGAAGGUGGGGCUAAUGACUGGGGUGAAGUCGUAACAAGGUAGCCGUACCGGAAGGUGCGGCUGGAUCACCUCCUAACAGGGAGACAACAAAAUGUUAAAUAUUAAUUUUGUCACCUUAGGUCGAUCGGUAUCUCACAUCCUUGAUUUAUUAAGGAUUUUAUUUCCUAAGUUUUUUCUAGGUCACACCCAUUACUUUUCCUGGGCCAUUAGCUCAGGUGGUUAGAGCGCACCCCUGAUAAGGGUGAGGUCCCUGGUUCAAGUCCAGGAUGGCCCAUAUCUCUAUGUUGGGGGUAUAGCUCAGUUGGUAGAGCGCCUGCUUUGCAAGCAGGAUGUCAGCGGUUCGAGUCCGCUUACCUCCACUGAUUACCACCUCUUCCAUAAAUUACAGAAGGGAAAUGUUUUGAGUUGUGAUCAAAUUCUGAACGAAUCUAGCUUCCUAAUCAAACUUAUUAAGAUGCUGGACUCAUUGAAUUAAUUUCAUUGUUUUCAGAGAACCUUGACAACUGCAUAGAUUAUUUUAAAGACAAUAAGCAUCUUAAAUGAUGCAGAUUUAUUAUUUGUGCGAAUGCAUUAAUAACAAUUCUAUUAAGCUGAUGCUUCAAAUUUUGAAGUUAUUGGUCAAGCUACAAAGGGCUCACGGAGGAUACCUAGGCAC
RNAcentral lists this unclassified non-coding RNA (676 nucleotides) under uncultured Prochlorococcus sp. Its description in RNAcentral is "partial may contain 16S ribosomal RNA, 16S-23S ribosomal RNA intergenic spacer, and 23S ribosomal RNA". The stretch from base 1 to 97 matches the Rfam family "Bacterial small subunit ribosomal RNA", at positions 1437 to 1533 of the family's 1533-position model. The record is from RNAcentral. Lineage: Bacteria; Bacillati; Cyanobacteriota; Cyanophyceae; Synechococcales; Prochlorococcaceae.